UACGUAGGGUGCAAGCGUUGUCCGGAAUUAUUGGGCGUAAAGAGCUCGUAGGCGGUUUGUCGCGUCGAAUGUGAAAACCCGGGGCUCAACUCCGGGCCUGCAUUCGAUACGGGCAGACUAGAGUUCGGUAGGGGAGACUGGAAUUCCUGGUGUAGCGGUGAAAUGCGCAGAAUAUCAGGAGGAACACCGGUGGCGAAGGCGGGUCUCUGGGCCGAUACUGACGCUGAGGAGCGAAAGCGUGGGGAGCGAACAGG
This 254-nucleotide ribosomal RNA is filed under the name uncultured bacterium. RNAcentral's name for it is "partial 16S ribosomal RNA". It matches the Rfam family "Bacterial small subunit ribosomal RNA", at positions 524 to 776 of the family's 1533-position model. The record is from RNAcentral.